RNAcentral lists this ribosomal RNA (498 nucleotides) under uncultured bacterium. RNAcentral's name for it is "partial 16S ribosomal RNA". It matches the Rfam family "Bacterial small subunit ribosomal RNA", at positions 28 to 507 of the family's 1533-position model. The record is from RNAcentral.
GACGAACGCUGGCGGCGUGCCUAAUACAUGCAAGUCGAACGAGAGCGACCGGUGCUUGCACUGGUCAAUCUAGUGGCGAACGGGUGAGUAACACGUGGGUAACCUGCCCAUCAGAGGGGGAUAACAUUCGGAAACGGAUGCUAAAACCGCAUAGGUCUUCGAACCGCAUGGUUUGAAGAGGAAAAGAGGCGCAAGCUUCUGCUGAUGGAUGGACCCGCGGUGCAUUAGCUAGUUGGUGAGGGAACGGCUCACCAAGGCCGUGAUGGAUAGCCGACCGGGAAGGGGGAUCGGCCACAUUAGGACUGAGACACGGCACAAACUCCUACGGGAGGCAGCAGUAGGGAAUCUUACGCAAAGGACGCAAGUCUGACGGAGCAACGCCGCGUGAGUGAAGAAGGUGUUCGGAUCGUAAAACUCUGUUGUUAGAGAAGAAUAAGUGCUAGAGUAACUGUUAGCGCCUUGACGGUAUCUAACCAGAAAGCCACGGCUAACUACGUG